UUGUUACAUAAUACCACAGAUUAUAUGAAAAAAUAUAAUCUGUGAUAAUACUGCGAUCAUUUACGCAUCAGCGCGCGAUACUAUUAUUUAUAAAUGACUAUUGUAUGUGAGUAGGUACGCUCGGGGACUAUUUUUAAUAAAUAAUACGCCAAAAAAUGCUGUGAUGUUACAUACAGUAUGGCACCAAUGUUAACAAUUAACAUAAUAUCAUAAAAUAUGAUUCAUAAUACAUGACAAUGUGUACAUUUACUAAAAUCAUAUUUUUCUAAUAAUAUUAUUCACAGGAACGUAGCAAUACUACACAGCAGGUAUAUAGAUUGAUGACUUGGUGGGUUGACAAACGGGUGUUACCUGACUGCCACCAACAAAAACUGAAUGCCGCAGUUUGUAUUUCUUAUUAAGAGUGAAGUCGUUUUGAAAAAAAAUCGUACUUAUGUAUAGCCCGGUAUAGUCUAGUUGAUAUGGCUCCUAAAUAUAUAUUGGAGCAGUUUAACACCAGAUGAGAAACAAGAACUUUUGUGCAGAUCCAAAUUAAAAGAAAAUCAGCUUAUGAGAAUCCAAGUAGGUGAUCGAGUUUCUCGUUACUUCGGCUUAAUAAGAGGACAAGUAGUAAAAAUUGUAAGAAAUUCUGAAACUGCUAGACGUUAUAUUUCAUACAGAUUGGUAUGCUGAGGCUAAAUAUUAAAACUACAGUAAUUUGUUCACUUAAAAUAAAUUUAAAAUAUAAAACGUUUUUAAUA
Long non-coding RNA from Metopolophium dirhodum (rose-grain aphid), 740 nucleotides. RefSeq lists it as uncharacterized. The transcript has 4 exons. The record is from RefSeq and is a predicted model, not a curated record. Lineage: Eukaryota; Metazoa; Arthropoda; Insecta; Hemiptera; Aphididae.